AGCGACUGAGCCACCCAGGUGCCCCUGGAAGAACAUUUUAAAACGGGUUACUAAAGACAGAGAUUAAAGAGCCAGCAUGGAUUUGACCUAAUGAUUCAGAAAGACUGGGCUUAUUAAUUUUGCUAUACUAGUUACCACUCUACUAUUUUUAUAACCCCGGUGUAUAUUUAAUACUACCAAUGAAUAUAUAAAUAUUUUCUUUUCAAAUGGUGUAUAACAUUUUUGUUGUGAUUGAAAUAGCCUGUUUUAUCAACUCUCAACUUUGGAAAAGGAAGAUUCUAGAGGAAGAAGAAGAGACAAAGAAGUGGUAGCUGAUGUGAACCAAAUGCGAUCUGACAGCUUACCUUGGAAAGCUGAGCUUGUCUGAGAUCUGUGAACGGAUGACUUGACUCUUGUCAGAAAGAGAAGUUCAAGAAAAAGCCCUGAAGGAGUAAAAAGCCUCAUACAAGUACUCUGUGAUUGCACAAAUGCUGAUUCAAACUAAAGUAUGGGAAUUCUGUGAAGAAUAUAUCCAGCCCUAGGAAAAAAUUUUCAAAGUGCCCACUGAUGUGACAAAUCAGGCUUCUCUGACCCAGACUUCAGAAUCUCCUGGACUAAGAACAACUCACAUCAUUGUGAUUUAGAAGUAUCCUGGUGCUAGAGAAGACACCAAG
This is a long non-coding RNA of Ailuropoda melanoleuca (giant panda), 653 nucleotides long. RefSeq lists it as uncharacterized. The record is from RefSeq and is a predicted model, not a curated record. Lineage: Eukaryota; Metazoa; Chordata; Mammalia; Carnivora; Ursidae. The transcript is spliced from 3 exons.